AUUGAACGCUGGCGGCAGGCCUAACACAUGCAAGUCGAACGAGUGGCGGACGGGUGAGUAAUGUCUGGGAAACUGCCUGAUGGAGGGGGAUAACUACUGGAAACGGUAGCUAAUACCGCAUACCCUCAGAUGUGCCCAGAUGGGAUUAGCUUGUUGGUGGGGUAACGGCUCACCAAGGCGAGGACCCCUAGCUGGUCUGAGAGGAGGACCGGCCACACUGGAACUGAGACACGGCCCAAACUCCAACGGAGGGAAGAAGUGGGGAAUUUUGCAAAAUGGGCGCAAGCCUAAUGCACCAAGGCCGCGUAUAUGAGGAGGGCCUUCGGGUUGUAAAGUACUUUCAGCGGGGAGGCGUUACCCGCAGAAGAAGCACCGGCUAACUCCGUGCCAGCCGCCGCGGUAAUAC
This 406-nucleotide ribosomal RNA is filed under the name uncultured bacterium. Its description in RNAcentral is "partial 16S ribosomal RNA". It matches the Rfam family "Bacterial small subunit ribosomal RNA", at positions 30 to 526 of the family's 1533-position model. The record is from RNAcentral.